CAGCAGCUAAAAGCUCUCCAUGGUCAUCAUCUGGUUCACCAGUAAAUUCAUUGGGUAAAUUAUUCAUUGACUGCCUUGGCCGUGUGGAUCCUUUGCGCUCAGACCACUUCUUGGUAGGUGGUCGACCUGAUUUACUAUCAACCUUCUCGGAACUAUUUCUGCCACUUUUCCACUGAGAACUGUCAGGCUUCUCAAUUGAUGCAGGCAUUCCAGACCUUGACGAGCUUGAACCACGCCCAUUCCUCCCUUGCCUCCGAAUGCCAUCUCCGAGAUCUUCAUCAGUGCCCACCUUAAUUUUCCUCGAAGGCUGUACCAAGGUUGCAACCUUCUGAACAGUGGAGCCAUCUCUCUCAUCUGCCUCACUAGAUUUCUUACCCUUGUCUUUUGGCUUGUUCUCAGCAGCGCCAGACUCUUCACUUUCUGAUAAUCCUGGUGACGGUGCAUAGUCUCCUUUUAAUUUUGAUUGUUGAG
This 471-nucleotide unclassified non-coding RNA is filed under the name Hevea brasiliensis (rubber tree). Lineage: Eukaryota; Viridiplantae; Streptophyta; Magnoliopsida; Malpighiales; Euphorbiaceae. The record is from RNAcentral.